This 348-nucleotide long non-coding RNA is filed under the name Drosophila melanogaster (fruit fly). Its description in RNAcentral is "antisense RNA:CR45330 (Dmel_CR45330)". Lineage: Eukaryota; Metazoa; Arthropoda; Insecta; Diptera; Drosophilidae. The record is from RNAcentral.
AAGCCGUCAGGUUUUAUGGAAUUUUUCAUGCCCUAGUUGAGCGCAGCGCAAGUUUUACACUUUUUUUUACCGCUGUGUGACCCAAUGAUAAUCGCGUUAAUAGGUUAAGUGCGCACCCCGACAAUUGACCUUCGACCUUGACUUCAAUUACGGAGUGCAAGUGCAGUUGAGCAACACCCGAAACUAUCUUUGAACUUGAACUUAGUAGGGUCUCGAUGGGCAAACGGCCAGAACCAUUUGGGAAUUAUAAAUGUGAAAGUAGAAAGUUAUCGUACUUUCUAUUGCAUAUUUAAGGGGUUUAUGGUUCAUAUACUACAGACAUUCCCGUUCCAGGUAGCCACAUGAUAU